RNAcentral lists this ribosomal RNA (266 nucleotides) under uncultured archaeon. Its description in RNAcentral is "partial 16S ribosomal RNA". It matches the Rfam family "Archaeal small subunit ribosomal RNA", at positions 717 to 982 of the family's 1478-position model. The record is from RNAcentral.
ACACGACUACAUUAGAUACCCCGCGUAGUCCUAGCCGUAAACGAUACUCGCUAGGUGUCGGCCACGGUGCGACCGUUGUCGGUGCCGUAGGGAAGCCGUGAAGCGAGCCACCUGGGAAGUACGGCCGCAAGGCUGAAACUUAAAGGAAUUGGCGGGGGAGCACCACAACGGGUGGAGCUUGCGGUUUAAUUGGAUUCAACGCCGGAAAUCUUACCGGGACCGACAGCAACAUGAAGGCCAGGCUGAAGACUUUGCCGGAUUAGCUG